UUAAAUGGCUGCAGUAUACCUAACUGUACAAAGGUAGCAUAAUCAAUUGGUUUUUAAAUGAAAUCUGGAAUGAAAGGAUUAAUGAAAUGUAUACUGUCUCAAAUAUAUUCAAUGAAUUUAAAAUUUUAAUAAAAAUGUUAAAAUUUAUUUAUGGGACGAUAAGACCCUAUAGAAUUUUAUAUUUAUUCAUUUUUAUACUUAAUAUAAAAUUUGAACUAAUAUUUGGUUGGGAGGACCAUUAAAUUUAAUAAACUUUAAUUUUUGAUAACUUUGAUUUAAGAAAAUAUAAUGAUCUUGAAUUUUAAAUUAUUAGAGUAAAUUACCUUAGGGAUAACAGCGUAAUAUUUUUUUAUAGGUCAUAUAGAAAAAAAUGAUUGCGACCUCGAUGUUGAAUUAAGAUAAAUUUUAAAU
RNAcentral lists this ribosomal RNA (411 nucleotides) under Meliplebeia beccarii. RNAcentral describes it as "partial 16S large subunit ribosomal RNA". The record is from RNAcentral. Lineage: Eukaryota; Metazoa; Arthropoda; Insecta; Hymenoptera; Apidae.